This 1831-nucleotide long non-coding RNA is filed under the name Anneissia japonica. RNAcentral describes it as "uncharacterized LOC117103768, transcript variant X1". Lineage: Eukaryota; Metazoa; Echinodermata; Crinoidea; Comatulida; Comatulidae. The record is from RNAcentral.
AUAAUUCAAUUGAAUUAAUAAACGUAUAUCAGUCCGAUGACUUGUUUGUUUAUAAUUAGGUCUACACCUAUGCCUAUGAUUAGCACAGUCAGUGUCUACCCAGCAGCAUUAGCGCACUCCUGUCCCGGACACUGCUCCAGUCCCGCAGCAGGAAAAGAUAUGUGAUAGACCGAAACAUGACACUCUCCUCACAUAGGUAUUUGCCAGUCGCCAUGAUGAGACAAACAUACCACAACAUUUGCCAUGAGUACAACCACUCAAAUAUUGGCAUCUACGAAAGAAGGUGGUACAAAGCAUACAAACACCCAGCAAGACGUUAGCAAGAAACACUCUGGUUGUUUGCUGAAACUUGUAAUGAAAGCUACACACAAUUUAAGGAGCAAAUGACUGGCUCAAAUGGAUGUGAUGCAAACAAUUCCAUCUGUGUGGACAUGAUGAAAUGGACAUGCCCAAUCCAUGGUUAGCAGAAGAAUUUUCAUUAAAACCACCGCCUCUUGUUCGUGUUACUGGACUAAAUAAAGUCAUCAAGACGGAGACACAUUUAAGAGACAGAAAGGGUGUAUACGAUCAUAACAAAGGAGAAAAUGUUGGCUCUUGUGAACGAUCGCUCUCAGAAUUUUCGUUAAAACCACCGCCUCUUGUUUGUGUUACUGGACUAAAAAAAGUCAUCAAGACGGAGACAUAUUUAAGAGACAGAGAGGGUGUAUACGAUCAAACCAAAGGAGAACAUGUACAAUGGAUAGAAGAGAAAGAUUCAUGGGACGUUCUUCCAUCGAGGUUUAGUGUUAAGAGUGUACACAAUCCAUGCGCUUUAGCCGGGGACUGUUUGUGACUUUUACUGGAAGAAAGGCGAAGAGUCAUCACCAUGUCAUGUAUUAGCAUACGGAACUCAAAACGAAAUGGAAAAAAAAAGAGAUCCGAAGUGGCAAAGAAAGCUGAAGCAGAAGACAAUGAUGAUGAAGCCACAACCUCCUUUGGAGUUGGUAGAAGACAAAUCAAAAAGCCUGCUCGGCUUCAGAAUAACCUAGAAACGUCCGAUCAAACCCCGACUUGUCAAAAAUGAUAAAAAAAAACCUUAAGGAGUUUAAGGAGGGAAUGAAGCAGCAGGAGCCCAAUGAAGGAAAUAGCCCAUCAUCACAUUAUGUGAAACAAACUUCAAAGGUGGAUAUAGGGUACGGAAAGAGGUACCCUGCUAUGUGCCACACAAUCGAGCGACGGCCCAACCAAACUUGUGAGAAGUUUAUUCAGGUCUUUAUUUAAGGUUGAAGAAGUGGUCGGGAAGAGCAUCACUGGCCGAAAAAGCAACGCUCACUUGACCACUACUGAGCCAAAGGAGCAGGCCAUCAUAGAUUUCACGAUGAAGAAAUUCCCCAACACUUCAGUUGCUUUGCUGAGGCAAUCAUUGGCCAAUAAAGUCAAAGAACUAAACAAAAUUAAGGCGAAUUAAUUCAAUUUAUAUUUAUGUCCAUCCGUUUAACCAUAGCUCAACUACCGAAUGCCUAAACCUAAGAGGCCAGACUGUAUUUAUAUAUUCCAGUAACUAACAUAAUUUCAAUACCUUUAGAAUUAUAUUACUGUAACGAUUAUGAUGGACAAAUUUAAUAAGUUAUUAUCGUUGAUUUUAAAAUGUACUGUUCGUAACAAACUGGGAGGGAUAUUUUUAGUAUGUGAAUUUGAUCUUAUAUUUCAUCAUUUUUACAAUGUAAAAUAUUUGGACAUCUCUGGAUCCGCCCCUGCAUCAAGAGAACUUUAAUUAUAUAAGUUAAUGUUAAUAUUUAAGAAAAUUUGAAUUUUUAAUUAACUAAAGCUUGAGGUCACUUGUCAUGCAUUU